Molecule: small RNA, 131 nt
Filed under: Marmota monax (woodchuck)
Lineage: Eukaryota; Metazoa; Chordata; Mammalia; Rodentia; Sciuridae
Source: RNAcentral
UCUGGACAUGGUGGUGCAUACCUGUAGUACCAUCUACUUGGGAGACUGAGGCAGGAGGAUCACUUGAGCCCAGGAGAUUGAGCCCAGAAAUUUGAGGUCAGCCUGUGUAAUACAGCAAGACCAUGUCUCAA